CCUACGGGUGGCAGCAGUAGGGAAUAUUGCUCAAUGGGGGCAACCCUGAAGCAGCAACGCCGCGUGGAGGAUGAAGGCUUUCGGGUUGUAAACUCCUUUUGUUAGAGAAGAUAAUGACGGUAUCUAACGACUAACCACCGGCUAACUCCGUGACAGCAGCCGCGGUAAUACGGAGGGCGCACGCGUUACUCGGAAUCACUGGGCGUAAAGAGCGCGUAGGCGGGAUCGCAAGUCACAUGUGAAAUCCUAUGGCUCAACCAUAGAACUGCAUUUGAAACUGUCGUUCGUGAGUAUCGGAGAGGUAGGUGGAAUUCGUGGUGUAGGGGUAAAAUCCGUAGAGAUCAAGAGGAAUACUGAUUGCGAAGGCGACCUGCUGGAACAAGACUGACGCUGAUGCGCGAAAGCGUGGGGAGCAAACAGGAUUAGAUACCCGGGUAGUC
This 440-nucleotide ribosomal RNA is filed under the name uncultured bacterium. RNAcentral's name for it is "partial 16S ribosomal RNA". It matches the Rfam family "Bacterial small subunit ribosomal RNA", at positions 338 to 795 of the family's 1533-position model. The record is from RNAcentral.